This 523-nucleotide ribosomal RNA is filed under the name uncultured Alphaproteobacteria bacterium. RNAcentral describes it as "bacterial SSU rRNA". It matches the Rfam family "Bacterial small subunit ribosomal RNA", at positions 355 to 896 of the family's 1533-position model. The record is from RNAcentral. Lineage: Bacteria; Pseudomonadati; Pseudomonadota; Alphaproteobacteria.
GGGGGAAUCUUGGACAAUGGGCGCAAGCCUGAUCCAGCCAUGCCGCGUGAGUGAUGAAGGCCUUAGGGUCGUAAAGCUCUUUCGCCAGAGAUGAUAAUGACAGUAUCUGGUAAAGAAACCCCGGCUAACUCCGUGCCAGCAGCCGCGGUAAUACGGAGGGGGUUAGCGUUGUUCGGAAUUACUGGGCGUAAAGCGCGCGUAGGCGGACUAGUCAGUCAGGGGUGAAAUCCCGGGGCUCAACCCCGGAACUGCCUUUGAUACUGCUAGUCUAGAGUUCGAGAGAGGUGAGUGGAAUUCCGAGUGUAGAGGUGAAAUUCGUAGAUAUUCGGAGGAACACCAGUGGCGAAGGCGGCUCACUGGCUCGAUACUGACGCUGAGGUGCGAAAGUGUGGGGAGCAAACAGGAUUAGAUACCCUGGUAGUCCACACCGUAAACGAUGAAUGCCAGUCGUCGGGUAGCAUGCUAUUCGGUGACACACCUAACGGAUUAAGCAUUCCGCCUGGGGAGUACGGUCGCAAGAUUA